ACGGGAGGCAGCAGUGGGGAAUAUUGGGCAAUGGGCGAAAGCCUGACCCAGCAACGCCGCGUGAAGGAAGAAGGUCUUCGGAUUGUAAACUUCUUUUAUGAGGGACGAAGGACGUGACGGUACCUCAUGAAUAAGCCACGGCUAACUACGUGCCAGCAGCCGCGGUAAUACGUAGGUGGCGAGCGUUAUCCGGAUUUACUGGGUGUAAAGGGCGCGUAGGCGGGGAUGCAAGUCAGGUGUGAAAACUAUGGGCUUAACCCAUAAACUGCAUUUGAAACUGUAUCUCUUGAGUGCUGGAGAGGUAGAUGGAAUUCCUUGUGUAGCGGUGAAAUGCGUAGAUAUAAGGAAGAACACCAGUGGCGAAGGCGGCUUGCUGGACGACAACUGACGCUGAGGCGCGAAAGCGUGGGGAGCAAACAGGAUUAGAUACCCUGGUA
This 437-nucleotide ribosomal RNA is filed under the name uncultured Oscillospiraceae bacterium. RNAcentral's name for it is "bacterial SSU rRNA". It matches the Rfam family "Bacterial small subunit ribosomal RNA", at positions 341 to 792 of the family's 1533-position model. Lineage: Bacteria; Bacillati; Bacillota; Clostridia; Eubacteriales; Oscillospiraceae. The record is from RNAcentral.